This 119-nucleotide ribosomal RNA is filed under the name Pteropus alecto (black flying fox). The record is from RNAcentral. Lineage: Eukaryota; Metazoa; Chordata; Mammalia; Chiroptera; Pteropodidae.
AUCUAUGGCCAUGCCACCCUGAACAAGCCCAAUCCCGUCUGAUCUCGGAAGCUAAGCAGGGUCGGCCCUGGUUAAUACUUGGAUGGGAGAUCAUCUAGAAAGACCAGGUGCUGUAGGCA